UGCUUAGGGGGGCCUACUGAAGCCAUAGCCCUGUGUGAGGAACUCAGGAUGAGAAGGUGAAGAUCAGAGACUCUCAGAGCCCACCUACAGCUUGUCCCCACGAAACCCACCCGACUUUUCCCUGCCUAGUCCACUCCACCACCGAUUGGGUCUGGCCCUGGCUGUGGGCAGCGAACUGGAAUCUCGAGCUGAGGGAACUCUGCCAUCCCGGGCAUGGAUUUCGUGUUCUUUCAGGUCUUGGAUAUAAAAUGCUUUCCGGAGGCCCCGUGCUUGAGCACAUGAUCACCAGCGGGUGGCGCUGUUUUUUCGAGGCUGUGAACCAUACAAAAG
Molecule: long non-coding RNA, 330 nt
Filed under: Mus musculus (house mouse)
Lineage: Eukaryota; Metazoa; Chordata; Mammalia; Rodentia; Muridae
Description: lincRNA-EC193
Source: RNAcentral